This 253-nucleotide ribosomal RNA is filed under the name uncultured bacterium. RNAcentral describes it as "partial 16S ribosomal RNA". It matches the Rfam family "Bacterial small subunit ribosomal RNA", at positions 524 to 776 of the family's 1533-position model. The record is from RNAcentral.
UACAGAGGUGGCAAGCGUUGUUCGGAAUUACUGGGCGUAAAGGGCGCGUAGGCGGUCUUUUAAGUUCCGUGUGAAAUCCCUCGGCUCAACUGGGGAACUGCACGGGAAACUGGAGGGCUUGAGUUCGGGAGAGGGAAGCGGAAUUCCGGGUGUAGCGGUGAAAUGCGUAGAUAUCCGGAGGAACACCCAGGGGGAAACCAGUCGACUGGGCAGCACCUGACGCUGAGGUGCGAGAGCGUGGGGAGCGAACCGG